AGGACUCCAAGCCAAAAGAGUAGAUGCCUACACCCUCCAAACUCUGAGAUCGAGAGCCAAACUGCCCCGGCUUUUGAAUUCAGGCCCUACAGGGACACCUGCUGGCAAGUUUCUGUGUUGACUUUGGCUGCAGAAUUUAUUGUCUCAUCUGAGGAAAUGGACCAUUGGAAACGUUCGGUGAUAGGCUUUUAGCUCUUGGAGAAGGCAGCAGCCGUUUAACAGAUCAGCAACCCAAUGCACAGGGCUGCAGGGUGGCCGGGUUGGAAGCCUUCCCCUCCCCUACGAAGAGCAAGCACAUCGGGAGACGACGGGGAACGGGGAACAGGCCAAGUACACUUUCUUUUGCAAAGACCCCUUUGCACCUUUAAGGACUGGAGACUUCGGAUGGAAGCAGGGCACAGCCCAC
Molecule: long non-coding RNA, 406 nt
Organism: Caretta caretta (loggerhead turtle)
Lineage: Eukaryota; Metazoa; Chordata; Testudines; Cheloniidae
Source: RefSeq, a predicted model, not a curated record